Molecule: ribosomal RNA, 545 nt
Filed under: uncultured Gigasporaceae
Lineage: Eukaryota; Fungi; Glomeromycota; Glomeromycetes; Diversisporales; Gigasporaceae
Description: SSU rRNA
Rfam family: Eukaryotic small subunit ribosomal RNA
Source: RNAcentral
UUGGAGGGCAAGUCUGGUGCCAGCAGCCGCGGUAAUUCCAGCUCCAAUAGCGUAUAUUAAAGUUGUUGCAGUUAAAAAGCUCGUAGUUGAAUUUCGGGGUUCUACCGUUGGUCGGGCAAUAGUCUGUACUGGCGUGUAGAAUUUCUACCUUCUGGGGAACUAUCAUGUUAUUUAUUUAGCGUGGUAGGAAACCAGGACCUUUACCUUGAAAAAACUAGAGUGCUCAAAGCAGGCUUACGUCUGAAUACAUUAGCAUGGAAUAAUAAAAUAGGACGGUGGUCCUGUUUUGUUGGUUUCUGAAUCACCGUAAUGAUUAAUAGGGAUAGUUGGGGGCAUUAGUAUUCAAUUGUCAGAGGUGAAAUUCUUGGAUUUAUUGAAGACUAACUUCUGCGAAAGCAUUUGCCAAGGAUGUUUUCAUUAAUCAAGAACGAAAGUUAGGGGAUCGAAGACGAUCAGAUACCGUCGUAGUCUUAACCAUAGACUAUGCCGACUAGGGAUCGGACGAUGUUAAUUUUUCUUGACUCGUUCGGCACCUUACGGGAAAC